UACGUAGGCAGCAAGCGUUGUUCGGAGUUACUGGGCGUAAAGGGUGUGUAGGCGGUCUUCUAAGUUUGGUGUGAAAUCUCCCGGCUCAACUGGGAGGGUGCGCCGAAAACUGGGAGGCUAGAGUACUGGAUGGGAGAGUGGAAUUCCUGGUGUAGCGGUGAAAUGCGUAGAUAUCAGGAGGAACACCGGUGGUGUAGACGGCUCUCUGGACAGUAACUGACGCUGAGACACGAAAGCGUGGGUAGCAAACAGG
RNAcentral lists this ribosomal RNA (253 nucleotides) under uncultured bacterium. RNAcentral's name for it is "partial 16S ribosomal RNA". It matches the Rfam family "Bacterial small subunit ribosomal RNA", at positions 524 to 776 of the family's 1533-position model. The record is from RNAcentral.